Molecule: transfer RNA, 74 nt
Filed under: Candidatus Kaiserbacteria bacterium
Lineage: Bacteria; Candidatus Kaiseribacteriota
Also listed under: 1 other name
Description: tRNA-Val
Rfam family: tRNA
About the family: Transfer RNA (tRNA) molecules are approximately 80 nucleotides in length.
Source: RNAcentral
GCGCGGUUAGCUCAGUCUGGUAGAGCAUCUCAUUGACGUUGAGAGGGUCAGGGGUUCGAGUCCCUUACCGCGCA